UUCUAUGGUAGCUUAUAUAAAGUAUAGCUUUGAAGAGGCUAAGAAAAAUGUAGAAG
This 56-nucleotide transfer RNA is filed under the name Brentisentis yangtzensis. RNAcentral describes it as "tRNA-Phe". The record is from RNAcentral. Lineage: Eukaryota; Metazoa; Acanthocephala; Palaeacanthocephala; Echinorhynchida; Leptorhynchoididae.